Molecule: unclassified non-coding RNA, 141 nt
Filed under: uncultured Cylindrosympodium
Lineage: Eukaryota; Fungi; Ascomycota; Dothideomycetes; Venturiales; Venturiaceae
Description: sequence contains ITS2
Source: RNAcentral
CAACCCUCAAGCCCCGCUUGGUGAUGGGCCCCGCCUGCGGGCGGGCCCGAAACUCGUGGGCGUCGUCGUUCGGCUCCAAGCGUAGCAAAACCCUCGCUUGGGCGCCCGGACGGAGGCCGCCCGGAACGAAUUUUUACAAGG